Molecule: ribosomal RNA, 252 nt
Filed under: uncultured bacterium
Lineage: Bacteria
Description: partial 16S ribosomal RNA
Rfam family: Bacterial small subunit ribosomal RNA
Source: RNAcentral
UACGAAGGGGGCUAGCGUUGUUCGGAUUUACUGGGCGUAAAGCGCACGUAGGCGGAUCGUUAAGUGAGGGGUGAAAUCCCAGGGCUCAACCCUGGAACUGCCUUUCAUACUGGCGAUCUCGAGUCCGGAAGAGGUGAGUGGAACUCCUAGUGUAGAGGUGGAAUUCGUAGAUAUUAGGAAGAACACCAGUGGCGAAGGCGGCUCACUGGUCCGGUACUGACGCUGAGGUGCGAAAGCGUGGGGAGCAAACAG